RNAcentral lists this ribosomal RNA (451 nucleotides) under uncultured bacterium. RNAcentral's name for it is "partial 16S ribosomal RNA". It matches the Rfam family "Bacterial small subunit ribosomal RNA", at positions 29 to 523 of the family's 1533-position model. The record is from RNAcentral.
AGCGAACGCUGGCGGCAGGCUUAACACAUGCAAGUCGAGCGGGCAUAGCAAUAUGUCAGCGGCAGACGGGUGAGUAACGCGUGGGAACGUACCUUUUGGUUCGGAACAACACAGGGAAACUUGUGCUAAUACCGGAUAAGCCCUUACGGGGAAAGAUUUAUCGCCGAAAGAUCGGCCCGCGUCUGAUUAGCUAGUUGGUGAGGUAAUGGCUCACCAAGGCGACGAUCAGUAGCUGGUCUGAGAGGAUGAUCAGCCACAUUGGGACUGAGACACGGCCCAAACUCCUACGGGAGGCAGCAGUGGGGAAUAUUGGACAAUGGGCGCAAGCCUGAUCCAGCCAUGCCGCGUGAGUGAUGAAGGCCCUAGGGUUGUAAAGCUCUUUUGUGCGGGAAGAUAAUGACGGUACCGCAAGAAUAAGCCCCGACUAACUUCGUGCCAGCAGCCGCCGCGG